This 776-nucleotide ribosomal RNA is filed under the name Krogia borneensis. Its description in RNAcentral is "partial small subunit ribosomal RNA". It matches the Rfam family "Bacterial small subunit ribosomal RNA", at positions 370 to 1210 of the family's 1533-position model. The record is from RNAcentral. Lineage: Eukaryota; Fungi; Ascomycota; Lecanoromycetes; Lecanorales; Ramalinaceae.
AAUAGCCUAACGGCUGAACCAGCAAUUUGAAGGAAUGUAUAGCGAUAGCUAAUUGCAUAAUAUUAUGCAAUAUCGAUAAAGUCGAAUAAAAUUCUGAAUAGAUUUAGAUAAUGACUUAAUUUAUUCACAGGUCUUGACUAAAUUGCGUGCCAGCAGUCGCGGUAAGACGUAUAAGACUAGUAUUAUUCAUCUUUAGCAGGUUUAAAGGGUACUUAGACAGUGAAUAAAGCCAUAAAAGGGACUGAUUUACUAGAGUUACUUGUAAAGGGGCUAUAAAGUACUGGUGGAGUAAAGAUAAAAUGUUAAUAUACUUUUUUUUCGUAAGAAUUAAUAAUGGCACUGGUAAAGGCGAAAGCAUCCUCUUAUGUGAUAACUGACGUUAAAAGACGAAGGCUUUGAGUAACGAAUAGGAUUAGAUACCCUAAUAGUCGAAGCAGAAAAUGAUGAGUGUCAUAGACUGGAAUAUGUUUAGUCUAUAAAUGAAAGUGCAAGCACUCCACCUUAAGAGUAAUGUGGCAACACCGAAAUUGAAAUCAUUAGACCGUUUCUGAANNNNNNNNNNNNNNNNNNNNNNUAAUUUGAUGAUCCGCAAAAAACCUUACCACAACUUGAAUAUUUACAAGCGUUGCACGGCUGUCUUAAGUUAAUGUCGUAAGAAUUUGGUUGAUUCCAUUUAAUUGACGUAAACCCUCGUUUUACUUUAAUGUAGAACGGUUCACCGUUAUAUUGGAUAUGAUAAUAGGGAAGAAGACAAGUCAUCAUGGCCUGAAUGUUGU